RNAcentral lists this ribosomal RNA (440 nucleotides) under uncultured bacterium. RNAcentral describes it as "partial 16S ribosomal RNA". It matches the Rfam family "Bacterial small subunit ribosomal RNA", at positions 338 to 795 of the family's 1533-position model. The record is from RNAcentral.
CCUACGGGAGGCAGCAGUGGGGAAUAUUGCACAAUGGGGGAAACCCUGAUGCAGCGACGCCGCGUGAGUGAAGAAGUAUUUCGGUACGUAAAGCUCUAUCAGCAGGGAAGAAAAUGACGGUACCUGACUAAGAAGCCCCGGCUAACUACGUGCCAGCAGCCGCGGUAAUACGUAGUGGGCAAGCGUUAUCCGGAUUUACUGGGUGUAAAGGGAGCGUAGACGGCAGCGCAAGUCUGGAGUGAAAUCCCAUGGCUUAACCAUGGAACUGCUUUGGAAACUGUGCAGCUAGAGUGCAGGAGAGGUAAGCGGAAUUCCUAGUGUAGCGGUGAAAUGCGUAGAUAUUAGGAGGAACACCAGUGGCGAAGGCGGCUUACUGGACUGUAACUGACGUUGAGGCUCGAAAGCGUGGGGAGCAAACAGGAUUAGAUACCCCAGUAGUC